CCAGACAAGGGAGACAAACGGGACUUGCGGGGGUAGGGGAAGGUUCAAUAAAAUGAGACCCAAGCCGUGGAGUUCCCUUCACAUCUACGCCAUGGGCAGAGGAGAAGCACGAUCAGUUGCAGUGGUCCUGGUGGUGGUGUGGUUCUCGUCGUUGCCCUCGGCAAACGCUGCUAUUUGUGAUAGCAACUAUGGGCCAUCUGGGUCGCUGGACUGCUUUCUAGGUGUUCCAUACUACGAUGGCUACCAGUGGGGGACCUGCCUCAGCAACCAAUACAUCAGGACAAAGUCUAAAGGCACCGAGAAGUGCCGAGACCCUGACGCCAUCUUUUGCUACUACCAGUGCAUGGCUGAACUCUACAAGCUAUACACUGGCAAUGUGACGUCAGACUGCGCGUGCAACCCCAACGUCACCAUCUCUCCCCCGUCAGGGUCGACUCUUCCUCAGGACUGUUACAGCUCCACCGGUACUGACUGUAACUGGUUCAAAAAUUGCCUGGAGAAGAAGUACCAGUGCUCUGGAGUACGAGACCAGAAUGCCAUCACUUUUGCGAGAACUUUUGUAAACUAUACGAGGACAAGUCCGAUCUUUUCUCUACACUGGCAGACAAUGGGUUGAUGCAGUGCGUAAAUGUCUGCAGGUGGAGCUGACACCGCUGAUGCGGGCCUACACUACCUACACUUGUGAUGAUGUCAAGAAACGGGCCUUACGGUCCCACUUUGCUUGCUAUGAAAAGCCUUACACAGGGCCCAAAGCAUCUGCAGCCAGGCUCCUAUGGACUUCUGGUACAUGUUCUGGAUCAUAAGGAGCUCCUUUAUAACCAGCUACUCCGAGUCCUUGGUGGGGCUGCUGAAGAUCUCUAAGACGUGUGUCCCACGAGCCAAUCAGAUGCAGUCAGGUAUGCGAAAGGUAGCCAUCAAGAUACGAGUCAAGUCCAAGAGUCUACGUCAGCGACGUGCAGCUGACCCCGACCUCCUUAAUGCGGUUGACUACAAGCCGAGGUUCUGGAGAGAGAUCAGCAAUGAGGCGAUGAAUGAGGUCGAACCUCGCUACAAACGUGAGGCUUCCGACGAUGUCUGGGAAGGCGAGACCGACGAUGAAGAGGCCGUUAACCAGUUGACGUCCGAGCUGGCCGACCUGCUGGCUCAACAGCUGGGCUGGAAGUGAGCGGCGUUCAGUGGUUUGCCUACGGCAUUCAACUGAACAGUGAACAGAUCCAAGCUUUCGUUUUUCUCGCGGACAAGCAGGGUUAUGGUAUAAGCGACCCUGUCUCGUACAACUUGUCGGAAGUGGUACAGCGUGCGGCACAAGCGUUCCAGAACGGUGACAUCGUCGUCACAUCCCUGGGUGGGGAAUCGGUGGAGCUGCAAACUAUGAGCGGCUGCAGCGACAUCGACUGCGAGAGCGUCUACCUUGAAACCACUGCUCCGUCGUCUGCUCCACCUCAGUCGACGAUAGCCGGAGUGACGGGCCUUGUCCUCGCAGCUCUCGUUAGACUUUUAAAGUAAGACACAUAAGUCCUCGCUAAGGUGCUUCAGUGAGACACCACACCUUGAGCACUUUAUUAUGUGUAAUUGCUUAUCAUGUUAUUUUAACACGAGGUUAGACAUAUAUUUUUUACGUCUCUAUUAUUAAUCUCAGCUGCAUGCAACUCGUCUCCAGCUAAGCGGCUUCUAUAUUUACUGAUCACGUAGACACUUAAAAACUAUUUCAUGACACCUCUGUUAAGAGUGUUUAAAGUUUUUUUCUUCAAUGCUUUGUAUGGUUCCUACAGUAAUUCCAGGUUUUC
Molecule: long non-coding RNA, 1787 nt
Filed under: Pomacea canaliculata
Lineage: Eukaryota; Metazoa; Mollusca; Gastropoda; Architaenioglossa; Ampullariidae
Description: uncharacterized LOC112559458
Source: RNAcentral